UGAGAGAACCAUGUCGAAGGAACUCGACAAAAUGAUCCCGUAACUUAGAGAUAAGGAGUGCUCUCUUAUCUUUUGAUUAGGAAAGCGACACAUACCAGGGGGUAGUGACUGUUUAUUAAAAACACAAGACUCUGCUAAGUGGUAACUCGAUGUAUAGAGUCUGACACCUGACAGGUGCUGGAAGGUCGGAAGGAGAAGUCUGAUAAGCUUUGAAUGGAAUCCUCGGUAAACGUAAGUAGUAACUCUAACUGUCCUAAGGUAGCGAAAAUCAUAAGUAGCGACCUGCACGCAUGGUGUAAUGACUGCCCCGCUGUCUCCGACAUGGACCCGGUGAAAUUGAGUUCUCCGUGAAGAUACUAAAUACCAACUGCUAGACAGUAAGACCCCGUGCACCUUGACUAUAGCUUCACAGUGACAACCUUGAUCGAAUGUGUAGGAUAGGUGGGAGGUGGUGACACAGAUCUCCCAAUCCUGAAAGACCACUCUUUCAUCUAAGGAUGCCUAACUGUCGCAUCGAUCAUUCAUGGGGGGGGGGGGGCAGGACACUGUGAGGUGGGUAGUUUAUCUAGGGUGGAUGCCUCCUAAAGAGUAACGGUGGUGUACGAAGUUAGGCUCAAGCUAAGAUUAUGCUCGUGAGCGUAAUGGUAUAAGCCUACCUGACUAUGAGACUGACUGGUUGAACAAAGACGAAUGUCAGUCAUAGUGAUCUAAGAGUCCCGUGUGGAAGGGCUCUCGCUCAACAGAUCAAAGGUACGUCGCGGAUAACAGGCUUAUGACUCCCAAGAGCUCUUAUCGACGGAGUCGUUUGGCACCUUGAUGUUGACUCAUCACAUCAUGGGGUUGAAGAAGGUCCCAAGAGUUCGGUUCCUAUCUACUUUUGGUGUUAAAGGGUGAACUACGAGGAGCCAACCCUAGUACGAGAAGACUGGGUUGGGCCAACCUAUGGUGAACCGGUUGUUAUGCCAAUAGCAGCUUCAGGCAACUAAGUUGGAAUGGAAGAACUGUUGUGCCGCAUCUGAGCUGAGCUAUAGACUCACUCUCAAAGCAACGAGAGGAGUUUACGUCAGUUUAAUCACUCGUUGUUUUAAACGUUGGAAGUCCUUCUCUAAUCAAGUCCUUGUACAAGGUUUUUUAACAGAACUUCGAUAAGCGAAAGGUGUAAGCACCACGAGGUGU
Molecule: ribosomal RNA, 1176 nt
Filed under: Amborella trichopoda
Lineage: Eukaryota; Viridiplantae; Streptophyta; Magnoliopsida; Amborellales; Amborellaceae
Description: rRNA LSU_rRNA_eukarya
Rfam family: Bacterial large subunit ribosomal RNA
Source: RNAcentral